This 360-nucleotide unclassified non-coding RNA is filed under the name uncultured fungus. Its description in RNAcentral is "partial contains 5.8S ribosomal RNA and internal transcribed spacer 2". The stretch from base 1 to 133 matches the Rfam family "5.8S ribosomal RNA", at positions 22 to 154 of the family's 154-position model. Lineage: Eukaryota; Fungi. The record is from RNAcentral.
UGGCUCUCGCAUCGAUGAAGAACGCAGCGAAAUGCGAUAAGUAAUGUGAAUUGCAGAAUUCAGUGAAUCAUCGAAUCUUUGAACGCACCUUGCGCCCCUUGGUAUUCCGAGGGGCAUGCCUGUUUGAGUGUCUUGAAAUCACCAAGCCGUCGGGUUCGUUCCCGCGUCUUGGACUUGGGGGCUCUUGCUGCCGUGAGGCGGCUCCCCUUAAAUCCAUCGGUCGGCUCCUGCUUGAGCGCGUCCUGGCGUUGUACACACCUCGCUGGAUAAGCUGCCCUUGUGGACCGGCCCCGACCUGCUGCAGAGUGGCGGUCACAUACUUUGAAAUCUGACCUCAAAUCAGGUAGGACUACCCGCUGA